Molecule: small nucleolar RNA, 136 nt
Filed under: Tauraco erythrolophus (red-crested turaco)
Lineage: Eukaryota; Metazoa; Chordata; Aves; Musophagiformes; Musophagidae
Description: Small nucleolar RNA SNORA5
Rfam family: Small nucleolar RNA SNORA5
About the family: ACA5 is a member of the H/ACA class of snoRNA that guide the sites of modification of uridines to pseudouridines.
Source: Rfam by way of RNAcentral
CGCAGCUGCAUCAAAUCCAGUCCUCGCCCAGCCCGUGCUGGGGACUGGCCGAGCCACUGCCACAGCAGUGUCUGCAGUUUGGGAGCCCCUCUGUCCCCCCCUCCACCCUGGGGCUCUAUAAAUGCCACAGACACCG